AUUUUUACUGAGAUCAUCAUAGAAGCAUUAAUGCAUCACGGGAAUAUUUUCCCAUGACACAGCCAGAAUAUUUGACCAGAAGGAGCAGGAUCCGAAGCAGUGGCCGCUACAACAUCAGAAUGGUCGAUAACUGAGGACGGCCUUGUAGGUUUGAGCCCUGACAUAACUGUAGAAGCAAAGUAAUGCAAAAUCAUACGUGAAUUUGGAACUCGAGAUUAGUAGGUAAUAAAGUCUCUAGCAUCUAUAGAAAAUAACAGAUUGUUUGAUAAUUUCGAAAUGGCUCGAGUGGCUAUACUGUGAUGUCAAUCAUUCGAAGCAAAAACAAUGUAUGAGUGUUCCACAUAUUUGAGAAAACCUCAAUCUAACCUUUAAUAUAUUACCCCAUUAAACCCCUUUUCUUUUCUUUUUUGAUAUUAUCAAGUUUGUCUCAAAUAGUGGACAUUGGACAGGGUUACUUUGGAACAGGUGCUUAUUAUUAUUAACAUGUAUUUUUCAGGUUAACUUACAUGUAUCUUGACUAAUUUUAUGGGCCUGAAAUUAAUCUUUUUUUUUUUAGUGUUCCUUCACGGUGAUGGAUAUUUCAAGUCGAGGUAAGAGUGAAAAUGCCAAGGAGUCUUCAAAAUUCAACUGGGUCGUGGAUUCCAAGUCAGAAUCAGGUGAAUUAUGAGAAGGUUUUGCCUGGUUGGCGAUGGUGAUGUUUCGAUGGAAUAGAGCAGGAAAAAAAUGUCCUGUUUGGAGUGAGAUUGAAGUAAGUUCUCUCACCUAACACUUAAUUGAUGUUGAGGGUGCCAAAUCUUUUGCUUACAUUGGCAGAUACCUCUCGCUAACAGGUAAGAUAUGUUCAUCUCACCUUCCAUUCUUUUGUGCGGUGAGAAUUGCUUACCAUCCUCUGAAAUGCUUAGAGAUUCUGGUAAAAAGACGAGUUACAUUAUUAUUAUUAUUAUUAUUAUUAUUAUACUCAAGAAUGUGUUGGACCAGAACAGAACACCCUUUGUAAAGUGCAUGUCAAGUAAUUUCUGUCUUAAAACGGUGUCUUGGUCAUUAGAAAUUGAAGAUUUUACCUUGUUUGACUGUAGUUUUGCCUCAACCUACUUCCUUCUGGAAGUAAGUCAAACCAUAUGGGAAAAUAAUAAAUUAAACCCAAAACCAAACAAUCUUAAAUAAUAAUAAUAAUAAUAAUAAUAAUAAUAAAUAUAACAAAGUUAGGCACCAACCUUGGUUGCUAAAAAUAUAAGAGAGCUAAAGUUGCAUUCUCAUACAAGCUCCACCAUUGCCAAACUCCCUCUCUCUCACACACACGAUUCAAGCAGCUCAGUCUAUCUCCAACAUCUUGCUUCAAUUUUACCAGCCGGAUUCCGGUGAUUGCAUGGAAUUGUAGGAGCCCUACAUUCCUGUAAACACAGAGCACCACGCGAGUAAAAAGGAGUUCCAAGGUUUGUGUACAUGGCUAUCCAUAUAAACAGUUUUUAAUUAAUUUACAUUAACAUUUUGGUUUUCUUUGUGAGUUUCCAGGGCUCCUUACAAUUUUGGUUUUCUUUGUGAGUUUCCAGGGCUCCUUAC
Molecule: long non-coding RNA, 1560 nt
Filed under: Populus trichocarpa (black cottonwood)
Lineage: Eukaryota; Viridiplantae; Streptophyta; Magnoliopsida; Malpighiales; Salicaceae
Description: long non-coding RNA (PTRI_LNC002245)
Source: RNAcentral